UGUGAUUUCAUCUGGAGUCCCCAGGCCCCUCCUCAUCCUUCCCAGGGUUGCUCUGAGGCCAUCCCUCGUCAUCUAGGAGGGGUCCAUGUAAAAGCAUUUAUAAACAGCUCCAAAUGGGAGCCUGGCGCGCCCACCUUUGGAGCACUUUUUUCUACUGCAGAUUUAUCUACUGCUAGUUAAAUCUCUGGAUUUAACUCUGAUGAAAGACCUGAGGCUGAAGGGGAACUUCAAUGUCAUAUAUUUUAAAGGUUGACUCACAGUUUGGAGCAAGAAUUAAAGAACCACGAACAUCAAGGUAAAACGGGCAACGGCAGUGGGGCAAGCCUCUCUGCAGCCAGCGUGUCCAACCUCUCCUGCGUGCCAGAAGUCCCCAGGCAGGAGUGUGGUGGGACGUCCGGCUGGGGCUGGAUGAAGUGGCUCAUGCCUGUAAUCCAAGCACUUUGACAGGCUGAGGCGGGCGGAUGGCUUGAGCCCAGGAGUCUGAGACCAGCCUGGAAAACAUAGAGAAACCCUGUCUCAAUAUAAGAAGAAGAAGAAAAAGAAAAAAAAAAAUCAAAAACGAAAACAACACAAAUUUUAGA
RNAcentral lists this long non-coding RNA (581 nucleotides) under Pongo abelii (Sumatran orangutan). Its description in RNAcentral is "lincRNA". Lineage: Eukaryota; Metazoa; Chordata; Mammalia; Primates; Hominidae. The record is from RNAcentral.